This 3378-nucleotide long non-coding RNA is filed under the name Gallus gallus (chicken). Its description in RNAcentral is "lncRNA (ENSGALG00010026347.1)". The record is from RNAcentral. Lineage: Eukaryota; Metazoa; Chordata; Aves; Galliformes; Phasianidae.
CCCCCCCCGGCAGCGCUGAGCCGGCCGGCCCUCGGCCGCCGCUUAGACGGGAGGGCUCUUUGAUUUUUGUAAUUGAAGAUAUGAAUUUCUUCCGCGCCACCGCAAGGAAAGCGAGAUGAUGGCUGCGAUGAUCGUGAUUUAAAUUUCGUAUUCGGGGCCGCCAAACAGCUCCGAAAGGACCCUUCGCCCACGAUAAAUCACGAGGGGGGUCUGAGGAACGGGCAGCGACUUUUUAUUGAAAAUGAACAGAAGGAAAGUUUAAGUUUGAUGUAAAUAGAAGUUGAAUAAACAUGCGAGAGCCACUGGGGAGCCGGAGACUUAGGCUCUGGGCAUUUAAUGUCACUAUUGUUUUAAAUCAUAUUAAAAUGGAAUCAAGUAAUUAACAUUAAUAAAUAAAUCAAUAUCGUGCAAUAAAUGAGAUAUACAGUCUACAUUAAUAUAAAGGUUUUGCUCUCAGAGCCCCAUAUUUUUCCGAACGAGGGAAGGAAGAAAAAAAAAAACCCCGACCAAUGGCUCCAUGCAGAUGUAAAUUACUGUUUGUAAUAAAGCAUAGGUGGACAUUACAGAUUUCUCCUCCAGCAAAUGUCAGGGCUAAAACCCGGAGGUUACCAGACGUGCCGGUGGGCUUUCAUUUCACCGCCUUAUCUCCCUAAACCUUAUUACUCGUGAUAUGAUGUUUUUCUCGAGCGCGCUGACGAUUCCCAUCGUUGCAAUUUGCCGUGUUUGUGUCUCAUUAUGGGGGGGGAUGGGAUGGGAGAGGCUGGAUAUUUCGCAGAUGCCUUCAGUAACAAAGCGCAACUGUCACGCUGCCCAGAGCUCCGUGUGCCAUGUUUUCAUAGAAAGAGCCGGCGACUCGGCCGGGGGGCUCGGAUUCCCCGGAUGAUUUUGCCCUCGGCUGGGGGGGCAGGAACGCCCUGAUGGCACUACGCCUUUUCUUCAACGCGACACCUUAUAAAAUAAACAAAAUUCCUCGCCGCCCGUCGUUUCGGAGGUGCUAUUUCUGCCGUGGGGAGAGCGCGGCAGCACCCACUCUACCGCAGCCUCAGCCUCCCCCUGUCGUAUUGCCGUAUUUCCGCGCAGGGGCACAGCCUUAUCCUUACAGGACUUUGGCGUGCAGACCGGUCGGCGAUCCGGCCGCGGCCCGGCACGUUUGACUUUCGGCAGACCGCUGCCGAAUCUGAGGUUCAAUCAGCUAAGAGGCAAAUGCCCUUCUCGCCCUCCUGAAGGGACAAGCUCAAAGGCGUUCGGAAAUAGCUCCCAGCCUUUUCUUUCCGAAGGAAUAAAGCAGAGGAACGAGGAGGGGAGGGGGGGGGGGGGGAAAGGAUACAAGAGAUGAUAGACUCUGACAGAACCAUCACGUUAACGAGCUGAAUUAAAAAAAAAAAGAAAAUAAAAGAAAAUAAAAAAAAGAAAAGAAAAGGAACAAAGUGGCGUUCCCGUAUUCAAGGUUGUGGUGGGGUUUGGGGUAUUUUUGGUUGGGUUUUUUUUUGUUUUGCUUUUUGUUUUUUUUUUUUUUCCCCUUAAUUAACAACACACCCGGCUCCAAUCAGCCGUUCACAUCCUCUGAGAGCGGCCGCGCUAAUUGCGAGGGGCUGAAGCUUCACGUGGGAGCCCGAAGGCUCUGGGGUCGGUGCGGGCUCUCCCAAGAAGAGCCGAAUGCCAGCAAAACAAACGGGAAAACUUUGGUGAACGUUUCCCUCUCGAAAUAGGUAUCUCCGCCGAGAGCAGAGGGGUUCCUCCGGGCUCUGGGUUGGGCUCAAAGGGGCUCUCGUGGCGCCAGGGACCCGGGGACGUGAGGCUGCACAAUGCCGUUUUAUCGCAGACGGGAAGGCUAUUUCUAGGAAACUGUUAACAAUGAACUUCUAAAAAAAAAAAAAAAAAGCCAACCCAAACAACAACAACGAAAAGCCACCCCCAAACCCAGCGGACGGAGUGCCAACAAACGCUUUCACGGGACGUGGGGCUGUGGCAGCGCGGAACGCGGCCGAAGCGGCAGAAAUAGAUUUUGGCGAAGGCAGCGGCUGAGCAGAGAGGAGAGGAGCCCUUUUUCCGGGGAGGUUCUGAGCAAAAGUGCGCGUUGGAGGACAAAAAGAGCACGGAACAGCAAAACGGAACGCUCUCGGUCGCUGGAGAAAGCCCAGGGAAUUCAUAAGCUCCGCUUUAAUUUUCUAAUCUCUGGUUUCAUUUUAAUAGAUCUCCGUAGUGUUGUUAAGGAGAGGGAUUGCAAUCAGCAGAGCCUUGGCAAGGUGAUGUUCGGAUAUUAAAAACGUCUUCUUUCGCUUUAGUCUCUGCCUGUCUAUUAAAAAAAUAAGCGCUCUCAGCACCUCGCGUUAAAGCCGCGUUUAAAUAAAACGCGUUUCUGAAAUUACGCUUUUCUGUAUCGAAAGGUUUAUUUAAGAAAAGCCUCGGUAAAAAACGAAAGAUAAACAGUGGCAGCGCCUGGGAUUUAUAUUACUUUUGUUCUAUCCGCGUCGAGGCCGUCCUGAAGGGAGUAAAUAGGUUUUCGUUCCGGGGAACGAAUUCUGAGUAUCGGUGGGGCUUUCUUUUUUUUCCCCUUAAAAUUAUGGGAUUUUUUUAAAGCUCGGAUGCGUUAUAAAAGAUUACGAGCACCAAAAUUUCUUUUAAAUUGGCAUAUUUCUCGGGCACGUCACGGUUACGGGUUAUUUGUUUAAUAAAUCUUUUUGAUGCUUUAUUUUCUCAUUUGGAAGGCCCUGAAAUCUUCUCGUUACUUAUAUAUUAGAUGUUUUAUUAGCGGUGGAAUUAUUAUUAGGAGGAAAUAUACCGGAGCACGAGGACGGCGCUGCGCAGCAGCGAUGCGCCCUCGUGUGGCUCCGGGUGGAGGAGCAGCCGCCUCCCUCCCGGCCGCUCCAUUCGCUGUCGGUCACGGCUUUCUCCCUUUCUUUUUUUAAAUAGAAACCUAAAGCUGCUAUAAUUGAGCAUUUAUGCAAGAUUAAUGCCGGGCUGGUUAGGUUUCCGCGGCCCUCUUUUGCGGUGUGGGAGCUUUUUAAAGGGAUCCGAAUCCCUUAAGACGGCCGCUUAGAGCACCGCGGGGAACGGAAAGCGAACGCCCUGCUCUCGCGCUGCGGAUUGGGACUCGGGAGAGACGCGAGAACGCUGCUGGAAGGUCGGGAGGAAUGAAAUCCGCGCCGCUCCGAGCGCUCCUAAUUAAUGGGCUUUGUGGGGAACGCGCAGCCGGGGGGAAGCUGCCGAAAUCGCACCCUUCUCGCUCCGUUGCCGAGCGUUUCUCGCCGCCUCCGCGUUUUACUCGGAGCGACAAAAGCAGCGUUCGUUUCUUUAGGAUUAUUUCCUUUCCAAUAAAAGAGAAGAAGGUGGUCGGGGAAUAGCCGGGCCCGGCAGGGGAAGGGUCGGGACGCGGGG